GCUGGCGGCAGGCCUAACACAUGCAAGUCGAACGGAGUUAUAUUGUAGCUUGCUAUGGUAUAACUUAGUGGCAGACGGGUGAGUAAUGUAUAGGAAUCUACCUAGUAGUACGGAAUAAUUGUUGGAAACGGCAACUAAUACCGUAUACGCCCUACGGGGGAAAAAUUUAUUGCUAUUAGAUGAGCCUAUAUUAGAUUAGCUAGUUGGUGGAGUAAUAGCCUACCAAGGCAAUGAUCUAUAGCUGAUCUGAGAGGAUGAUCAGCCACACUGGAACUGAGAUACGGUCCAGACUCCUACGGGAGGCAGCAGUGGGGAAUAUUGGACAAUGGGCGAAAGCCUGAUCCAGCCAUGCCGCAUGAGUGAAGAAGGCCUUUGGGUUGUAAAGCUCUUUUAGUGAGGAAGAUAAUGACGGUACUCACAGAAGAAGUCCUGGCUAACUCCGUGCCAGCAGCCGCGGUAAUACGGAGAGGGCUAGCGUUAUUCGGAAUUAUUGGGCGUAAAGGGCGCGUAGGCGGAUUAGUAAGUUAAAAGUGAAAUCCCAAGGCUCAACCUUGGAAUUGCUUUUAAAACUGCUAAUCUAGAGAUUGAAAGAGGAUAGAGGAAUUCCUAGUGUAGAGGUGAAAUUCGUAAAUAUUAGGAGGAACACCAGUGGCGAAGGCGUCUAUCUGGUUCAAAUCUGACGCUGAGGCGCGAAGGCGUGGGGAGCAAACAGGAUUAGAUACCCUGGUAGUCCACGCUGUAAACGAUGAAUGUUAAAUAUGG
This 762-nucleotide ribosomal RNA is filed under the name uncultured bacterium. RNAcentral describes it as "bacterial SSU rRNA". It matches the Rfam family "Bacterial small subunit ribosomal RNA", at positions 35 to 825 of the family's 1533-position model. The record is from RNAcentral.